Molecule: long non-coding RNA, 169 nt
Organism: Zea mays
Lineage: Eukaryota; Viridiplantae; Streptophyta; Magnoliopsida; Poales; Poaceae
Exons: 3
Source: RefSeq, a predicted model, not a curated record
CCGCCAAGGUCGUGGAGACGUGGGGCGCACCCAACGCCUCCUGCGCCAUCGUCACUGCCUCCCUCGCCGAUCGUGCCACCGACCCCGUUUUGGCUGUGGCGAGGAAGAACGGCGUGGUUGAGUUGCUGAAUCCCCUGAACGGAGAUACUUUGGCUGCUGUCAAUACAGU